Molecule: long non-coding RNA, 2142 nt
Filed under: Homo sapiens (human)
Lineage: Eukaryota; Metazoa; Chordata; Mammalia; Primates; Hominidae
Description: HSALNT0032264
Source: RNAcentral
GGUCAAGACUCAUGGGAAAUAAAUCUCAGGGAGGAAUCUUGACUACCACAGAAAACCCAGAGGAGUAUGCAAAGAGGGAAGUAUAGGAGGUUAUACAUAGGUCAAGCAGUGUGAGGACUGAAAAAAAGACACUAGAUUUGACAAGGCGGGCAGUCUCCGCUCAUCUUUCCCAGAAUAUCCUAAGAAAAUUGUAGGAGCUAAAGACAGAGAUGGCUGGGCUAAGGAAUAACUGGGAAGGGAGAAAAUGGAGGCUGGAGGCAUUUCAGAAGUCAGGAUGCAAAUGCAUCCAAGUGGUAGGAAAGGUUUUAUUUGGUCUUUCCUUUUAGGCUAAUGAAGACAUUUACCAUGUUUAUACAAAGAAAGGAAUCACUAAGUGGUGAUGUAAGGAUAAAGUAAACACAGCCUGGCAGAGAAAGGAGGAGGGAUCCAGUGCACAAGUAGAGUUCAGAAAAAGUGCCUCAGAUACUAAAAGCAGGUGUUAAAAGAGCAGGUGAAAGCAUGAAUAUAUGUAGAGACAGAGGAGAAACGUUACCAAAUUCAUUUUAAAUUAAAGUCUAUACAGGGUCAAAAAAUAGCACCUGAAAAAUGAAAAAUCCAUUGGGAAUAUUCUACACACAGAGGUAGCAGAACCUUAAUUCUGCUUACACCGCAAAACUAGCCAACACUUAUUUAGUUUUAAAAAAAUAUUCUAAACACAGAUGUAGCAGAACCUUAAUUCGGCUUAUACUUACUUAUACUAAGUAGCCAACGCUUAAUUAGUUUAAAGAAAAAAACCCAUGCAGCUAUUCUAACAGUCAGUGUUUAAACUGAUUGGUGCUAAUUAAUCCAAAACUAUGAGAUUCUGUAUUAAAAAAAAAAAAAAUCUCCCCACCUAUCAUCCAUCAUCAUCUAGAGACAUCCUGGGUUCACAUUUUGAACAGAAAAGAAAUUGUGCCUUCAGGUUUUUCUUUCUCCCUGGUAAGUUCUAUUUAUGUGCUUAUGAUUUUAAAAAUUUAUUUUAAUUUAUAUUUUUAAGUAAAAAAAUUACUUUCUACCUUUUUUAUUGAAUUCUAUGAUUCUUGUGAGAUUUCAUAAUGGCUGCUCAUGAAAAAUUUAUAAUACAGAAAUAUUUCCUUUUGAAAUAAUAAUUUCUGAGGAAUAUUAAUGGUACUCAGGGGUCUUUCUUUUUUUUUCUUCCUGAACCAUCCUGAGCCCAAGUCUCACUUUGCUGUCUUCCCUAUUUCCCAGUAUCAUUUAACUGAGAAUUUUUGUUUUUAUGGCAUUCACACAUUUUUCUAUUUGACCGAAACGACUAGUUUAUGUAAAGUUAUGGUUUGGUUAGACAUCGUGUAAGUAAAAUGACAGACUGUUUCUUGCUAGGAAGAUAUUCAACAUUUAGGGCAGGUUCUAGUUGUAAAACAAACUAGGUAAAGUUAAUUACUUAGCAUAAUGAUAAUUCCAUCAUAAUUAAGAUUACUGCCCAACUUUAAUCUGUAAUAAUAAAAUAUAAUGAUCUAAUUAACCCUUACAAUGUCUUUGGGAAAUAAAAGGGCAAAAUAAAUAAUUAUAUAUCAAAUGAAAACUCCAAAAUAUAACUACGUUUUGAAGCAAAGUGAAAGGUUUCUAAAUGCCAGAAUUACCAAAAGUCACGAAACACAAACAGCAAAUAAAGUGUAAUGUUACAGCUAUAACAACUCACAUAAAGUAUGCAGAAACAACUAGGAAACACUGAGAAUUUUAAAUCUGAUUAAGGAGCUAGUAGAGAUUACCCAGCAUUCAGCUCACCAUUUGAAACCAGCCAAAUGAAUAUGUGACAAGUCUCUUUUAAAAAUCUUGCACUUUGAAAAGGAAAUGUGUUAUAAGUGUUACUCAAUCUGGAAGUUGCAAUGAGCUUGACAAUGUCAAAACAUGGAUUUAGAGAUUCUCAAUGAACCUCUAAUGUUUUACCUUCAAUAAAAUCUCUUUUCAUAAAAGGAAAAAAAAGAUUACCCAAAUUCUACCAUCAUUUUGCCACUGGGAUUAUUUUCCUUUCAAACAAUUUGGAUGACCAUUAUUAUUCCUGGACUUGAAUGUACACGAUUCUCAUAAACCCAAUGUCACACUAAGUAAAACUGCAAAAAUCAUAUACGUCUUAUAAUUAAAGUUAUUAUUUCUUUCAAAAAC